GGAUUCAUUUCCUUAGUAACGUAGCUAACGCGUGAAGUUGACCGCCUGGGGAGUACGGUCGCAAGAUUAAAACUCAAAGGAAUUGACGGGGACCCGCACAAGCGGUGGAUGAUGUGGAUUAAUUCGAUGCAACGCGAAAAACCUUACCUACCCUUGACAUGUACGGAAUCCUGCUGAGAGGUGGGAGUGCUCGAAAGAGAGCCGUAACACAGGUGCUGCAUGGCUGUCGUCAGCUCGUGUCGUGAGAUGUUGGGUU
RNAcentral lists this ribosomal RNA (256 nucleotides) under Pandoraea pulmonicola. Its description in RNAcentral is "partial 16S ribosomal RNA". It matches the Rfam family "Bacterial small subunit ribosomal RNA", at positions 828 to 1081 of the family's 1533-position model. The record is from RNAcentral. Lineage: Bacteria; Pseudomonadati; Pseudomonadota; Betaproteobacteria; Burkholderiales; Burkholderiaceae.